This 447-nucleotide ribosomal RNA is filed under the name uncultured bacterium. RNAcentral's name for it is "partial 16S ribosomal RNA". It matches the Rfam family "Bacterial small subunit ribosomal RNA", at positions 29 to 523 of the family's 1533-position model. The record is from RNAcentral.
AACGAACGCUGGCGGCAGGCCUAAAACAUGCAAGUCGAACGAACCUUCGGGUUAGUGGCGCACGGGUGCGUAACGCGUGGGAAUAUACCUCUGGGUGCGGAACUACGUCUGGAAACGAACGCUAAUACCGCAUAAUAUCUACGGAUCAAAGAUUUAUCGCCCAGAGAUUAGCCCGCGUCGUAUUAGCAAGUUGGGGAGGUAAUGGCUCACCAAGGCGACGAUCAGUAGCUGGUCUGAGAGGAUGAUCAGCCACACUGGAACUGAAACACGGUCCAGACCCCUACGGGAGGCAGCAGUUGGGAAUAUUGGAAAAUGGGGGAAACCCUGAUCCAGCCAUGCCGCGUGAGUGAAGAAGGCCUUAGGGUUGUAAAGCUCUUUCGGCUGUGAAGAUAAUGACAGUAGCAGAAGAAGAAGCUCCGGCUAAAUUCGUGCCAGCCGCCGCCGUAA